Molecule: non-coding RNA, 46 nt
Organism: Lucilia cuprina (Australian sheep blowfly)
Lineage: Eukaryota; Metazoa; Arthropoda; Insecta; Diptera; Calliphoridae
Source: Rfam
AACAUGGCUCUUUUAAGAGCCACAUAACCUUGGUCUUCCAAAUUUU